RNAcentral lists this ribosomal RNA (448 nucleotides) under uncultured bacterium. Its description in RNAcentral is "bacterial SSU rRNA". It matches the Rfam family "Bacterial small subunit ribosomal RNA", at positions 330 to 792 of the family's 1533-position model. The record is from RNAcentral.
GCCAGACUCCUACGGGAGGCAGCAGUGGGGAAUAUUGGACAAUGGGGGGAACCCUGAUCCAGCGACGCCGCGUGAGUGAAGAAGUAUUUCGGUAUGUAAAGCUCUAUCAGCAGGGAAGAAAGGAAUGACGGUACCUGACUAAGAGGCCCCGGCUAACUACGUGCCAGCAGCCGCGGUAAUACGUAGGGGGCAAGCGUUAUCCGGAUUUACUGGGUGUAAAGGGAGCGUAGACGGCAUGGCAAGUCAGAUGUGAAAGCCCGGGGCUCAACCCCGGGACUGCAUUUGAAACUGUCAGGCUGGAGUGCAGGAGAGGUAAGUGGAAUUCCUAGUGUAGCGGUGAAAUGCGUAGAUAUUAGGAGGAACACCAGUGGCGAAGGCGGCUUACUGGACUGUAACUGACGUUGAGGCUCGAAAGCGUGGGGAGCAAACAGGAUUAGAUACCCUAGUA